UUCAAUUCUCUCUCAUUUUCCCUCUUUCUACACAAAGUUUUUUAGAAUUUAUUUCUCUAUUAUUUUUUAAGUUACCGAGCGUAGCGAGUGUUUAUCGUGGGUGUUAGUAUUCCAGUGGGUCCAAGUUUUGUUUUUAUCAACAAAGAAGACUAUUUUAUCUUGGGGAUGAUCGGGCUAUAACAACUACUAGCACCUAAAGUAGAGUCGUGAAACAUCUUACAUAAAUGAACCGACCAUUUCGCUUUGAAGGAGCCCACUUCAAACGUUGAAAGCAGAAGAUGAUUUUUCUUAACCCUAAAGAAGGUUGCAUGCACCAUCGAAGAGCCAAAAGUUUCCAAGACUUAUCCAAUCGAGGAGCAACUCCAGUACUAUGUCCACGACGAAGGAAGUCUGGGAUGCACUGUAAAAGAAAUACGAUACUAAAGAAGCUAGAUCCAAGAAGUAUGCGAUAAGCCGAUACUUGUGGUACUAGAUGGUUGCUGAUAGAUUAGUAGAAGCCUAAUCACACGAACUGCAGAAGAUGGCCUACGAAAUAAUUAGUGAAGGUAUGCAUUUAGAUGAGCAAUUUCAAGUUGUUGUUAUUAUUGAUAAGCUACCUUCACCAUGGAAGGACUUUAAAAAUAUUCUGAGGCAUAAGACAAAGGAGUUUUCCCUGAAGAGCUUGAUCACCUAGUUGUGAAUUGAGGAGGAGGCCUGCAAGCAUGACCAGAAGGAGGAGGAGGUGAAUGUGAUCCCUAAAAAGAAGUCUACUGUCAUCUUGAAACUUGACCUAAAGCCUAAGGGAAAUAAGAUGAAGGUUCAGAAUCGUGGGUCCAACAACCUGAAGAAUUAGCAGAACCCCAAUCCAGAAGUAUGGUACCAAUUGUGUGUUUCAAUUGUAAACCUAGGCAUUCUAGCUAGGAACUAUAGGAACAGGAAUCAUUCUAUUGCACAGGCGAACCUAGUAGAAGACUUGGUAACUAUGACCACAAAAAUAUAUGUAAUUGAAGGGUCUAAAGGUUGGUGACUAGACACUAGUCCUUCACGCCAUGUUUGUCACGACCUUAGUUUAUUUAAAAAAUAUAAUGAAACUAAGGACAAUAAUAUUCUUCUGAGGGAUCAUCUCACAACCAAGGUAGUAAGCAUUGAGGAAGUGGAGUUGAAGUUCACCUUCAGCAAGACAUUCAUUUUGAAGGAAGUCCUGCACACUUCUGAAAUCUGAAAGAACAUGGUCUCAGACUAUCUCCUUAACAAGGCGGGCUUCACUCAAACUAUAGGAUCCGACCACUUUACUUUAACAAAGAAUAAUACAUUUGCAGGAAAGGGUAUGCAACAAUAUGUUCAAAUUAAAUCUUCAUAAAAAUGUAUCUUCUACUUA
This is a long non-coding RNA of Cucumis melo (muskmelon), 1357 nucleotides long. RefSeq lists it as uncharacterized. The transcript has 3 exons. The record is from RefSeq and is a predicted model, not a curated record. Lineage: Eukaryota; Viridiplantae; Streptophyta; Magnoliopsida; Cucurbitales; Cucurbitaceae.